RNAcentral lists this ribosomal RNA (253 nucleotides) under uncultured Oscillospira sp. RNAcentral describes it as "partial 16S ribosomal RNA". It matches the Rfam family "Bacterial small subunit ribosomal RNA", at positions 524 to 776 of the family's 1533-position model. The record is from RNAcentral. Lineage: Bacteria; Bacillati; Bacillota; Clostridia; Eubacteriales; Oscillospiraceae.
UACGUAGGUGGCAAGCGUUGUCCGGAUUUACUGGGUGUAAAGGGCGUGCAGCCGGGCUGACAAGUCAGAUGUGAAAUCCGCGGGCUUAACCUGCGAACUGCAUUUGAAACUAUUGGUCUUGAGUGCCGGAGAGGUAAUCGGAAUUCCUUGUGUAGCGGUGAAAUGCGUAGAUAUAAGGAAGAACACCAGUGGCGAAGGCGGCCUGCUGGACGGUGACUGACGCUGAGGCUCGAAGGCGUGGGGAGCAAACAGG